This is a small nucleolar RNA of Rattus norvegicus (Norway rat), 173 nucleotides long. Lineage: Eukaryota; Metazoa; Chordata; Mammalia; Rodentia; Muridae. The record is from Ensembl.
GGAGCAUGCUUUUGAGGCUGGCUGGAUUCUAUUCUCCUCAUUAGAAUGCAUCCAUAUCCAGUGAACUUCUGAGUGUCGGAAGUGUGCUACGUUGAACCUAUGGCAGGAUUUUCGCUAACACCAGUAGAGCUGGCCUCUAUGACUGGAGUUUAGUAGUGGUCACUGCCACAUAU